Molecule: long non-coding RNA, 748 nt
Filed under: Homo sapiens (human)
Lineage: Eukaryota; Metazoa; Chordata; Mammalia; Primates; Hominidae
Description: HSALNT0348481
Source: RNAcentral
UUUUUUUUUUUUUUAAUUCAGCUUGGAACUUUUUUCCUGGGUAGUAUUUGGGAGAGGGAAAGGCUGUACUAUAUAUUUAUUUCUAAAUGUUUUGACUGGGCAUUUUUCUUUUAAUGAAAUAUGUGGACUGCUCUAGCAAACCCUAUUUUCAGCUACUAUUUGAAUAUUCUUGAACACCACCACUGAAGAGUUUCAUAUACACCAAAUAAUGUCUCAUCUCUAUAGUACAGGGAAUAUAAAAUUGGUUUCCUGUGGUCAUGAUCAAGAUAGUAGUAUUAUUACACAAGAAACUUGGUCUGCAGUCUGGAAGCUUGUCUGCUCUAUAGAAAUGAAAAUGCAGCAUGAAGUUGACAUUGUGGAAAUGAAAGUAAUUGGGUAUUAGAAAUCUGAAAGUACUGUCAUCUAAAAGCAAUUGUGAUUUUAUUGUAAUUGGUUGUCACUGUUGUACGGUGUCUAGAAUUAAAGAAUACAUGUAAACUUUCAUGGUAUUUAGCCUUUCUUAAAUUUUUUUAAAAUUUAAACUUUCUAACCUAUGUAUUCAACUUCUGUAUUUAUAUUUAAUCAGUGGUUCAUGUUAUAUAAUACACCCUUAACUAGUUAAAUGGAAUGUUGGUAUGGUACAGAGUACCAUAUUGCUAAGAAAACUGUCUUAUAAAAGAUGUAUAUGUGUGAAGACAUGAAAGUUUAAUGUACAGAAUGGUUGGAGAAAUGCCUAUGGUGAAUUAAAGCUUCAUAUCUGCUUUCUGAA